Molecule: unclassified non-coding RNA, 751 nt
Filed under: Hevea brasiliensis (rubber tree)
Lineage: Eukaryota; Viridiplantae; Streptophyta; Magnoliopsida; Malpighiales; Euphorbiaceae
Source: RNAcentral
UUGUGAAAGCCGGAGGUUUAGGAGCAAAGUACAAUUAUUUUCGCAAAUAAUUGUAUCUUUUGCUCUUAAACCUUUAGCUUUAACAAAUUUGUGUCAACCCUUUGUGUAUAUAAUUUUUAUUUCUUUUACAAUAACAAUAUAUAAAUUUUCAUAGUCUCUUUAUGCAUCAGAAAAGCACAUGUCCUCUUUGAAAAAAAUACUUUGUUGCAUAUUCUUAGGUACAUAAGCCUAUAAAAUCCAACAUCACUUGGAAUUAGCUCCUUUUGAAAGCUAUUUGUAUGGGAAUUCGAGAUUAUCCUAUAAGUAACAUUUAAAUCAUGGAUUUUACCAGGAGGCCUAAAAAACACAAAAUGCUAUAGGCUUGUGAUCCGUAAGUACUAUUGGACUCACAUUUUAAGUAGGUUUACACGUAGUAUGUAGAUUGAACUCAUAGAACAAAAUUUGAGUCUUAAAAUUCAAUACAAAAUGCACAGAUGGGAUUUACGUCCGUAGAUCAAACCACGAAUGAUCCGUGAAGGGUUUUUUUCCAGUUUUUAAGACUAGUUAAGGGUUUGAACAGUGUUAAUGAAUCCUUUACGUUCUUUAAUGCUUCCAAGUCUUAAAGCAAGGAUCCAAGAGGAGAAAGCUAAGAUUUUGAGCGUUCUUUGAAUUUUCACCGAUUUCACCAAGAACUUUGUUCUUCAGUGUAUGUAAGGCUAUCAUAAUGGUGGACUAAGUUUGUCCUCACGCCCUACAUCUAUCUAAAUUCAGU